GAUGAACGCUAGCGGCAGGCUUAACACAUGCAAGUCGAGGGGCAGCAUAAUGGAUAGCAAUAUCUAUGGUGGCGACCGGCGCACGGGUGCGUAACGCGUAUGCAACCUACCUUUAACAGGGGGAUAACACUGAGAAAUUGGUACUAAUACCCCAUAAUAUCAUAGAAGGCAUCUUUUAUGGUUGAAAAUUCCGAUGGUUAGAGAUGGGCAUGCGUUGUAUUAGCUAGUUGGUGGGGUAACGGCUCACCAAGGCGACGAUACAUAGGGGGACUGAGAGGUUAACCCCCCACACGGGUACUGAGACACGGACCAGACUCCUACGGGAGGCAGCAGUGAGGAAUAUUGGUCAAUGGACGCAAGUCUGAACCAGCCAUGCCGCGUGCAGGAUGACGGCUCUAUGAGUUGUAAACUGCUUUUGUACGAGGGUAAACGCAGAUACGUGUAUCUGUCUGAAAGUAUCGUACGAAUAAGGAUCGGCUAACUCCGUG
Molecule: ribosomal RNA, 488 nt
Filed under: uncultured bacterium
Lineage: Bacteria
Description: partial 16S ribosomal RNA
Rfam family: Bacterial small subunit ribosomal RNA
Source: RNAcentral